ACUCCUACGGGAGGCAGCAGUGGGGAAUAUUGCACAAUGGGCGCAAGCCUGAUGCAGCCAUGCCGCGUGAAUGAUGAAGGCCUUAGGGUUGUAAAAUUCUUUCGCUAGGGAUGAUAAUGACAGUACCUAGUAAAGAAGCCCCGGCUAACUUCGUGCCAGCAGCCGCGGUAAUACGAAGGGGCUAGCGUUGUUCGGAAUUACUGGGCGUAAAGCGCACGUAGGCGGGUUAUUAAGUCAGAUGUGAAAUCCCGAGGCUCAACCUCGGAACUGCAUUUGAAACUGGUAACCUAGAGAUCAGGAGAGGUUAGUGGAAUACCGAGUGUAGAGGUGAAAUUCGUAGAUAUUCGGUGGAACACCAGUGGCGAAGGCGACUAACUGGACUGAUACUGACGCUGAGGUGCGAAAGUGUGGGGAGCAAACAGGAUUAGAUACCCUGGUAGGUC
RNAcentral lists this ribosomal RNA (443 nucleotides) under uncultured bacterium. RNAcentral's name for it is "bacterial SSU rRNA". It matches the Rfam family "Bacterial small subunit ribosomal RNA", at positions 335 to 795 of the family's 1533-position model. The record is from RNAcentral.